UAACCGGCAGGACAGAAACAAAAUCAGGAUUUUUAGCCAACGAAGUCGAAAUACGUGACUUUAAAAAGCAGUUAUGUAAACAUUCAGAAGAAAACUAUCCUGCGGGUCGGACUUCCUGGAGAAAAUUUAAAAUGUACUGUGUUACAGCAGCUUUUCACAGUUCAAAACAAGCUUCCUCUUGAACGCACCUUCUCUAACGUGGCGGUUUAUUUAAACAGCACCUGUCCCGUCCACACGUUUGAUUCAUAGACUGUAUAAAAUAGGUUUGAUUGCUAGCAGCUAACCAUAGACUGUAACGCAACACGUCAUUACCCACUUCACCUGGCAACAGCUGGAAUAUUCUGGGAUGGAUUGUCUCCGACGUCUUCCAACGUCGCUUCCAGCUGCAGUGGCUUCUUAUGGACAUGAUGACCAGCUAAUGGCGCGAGCGUGAGGGUAUCUGCUUCAUGUCAACAAGUUUGCCAAUCCCCGUCUGUCUGAAGAACGGUCAACGGACAACAACAGAGCCUCCAACAACAGACCUAAGACAUAGUGGGAAACAUAUGGAUGGAUACAAACUGCAACCCGAUUGGUUGGUGGAUGCAUACAACUUUAAGGUGGAAUCUAGUUAAGACAUGCUUCUAAUUGACAAGUGUUGGCUGCGUCUUGAACGUAGUGUUGUUUGUUGUGUAGCUGCUCGCAGUACAGACAGUCUGAAGUCAGUCUGAAUCUUCACUAUGUUUUACCACCUUGUGGAAAAUCAAAUUGCGUCCUCUUUUGGCUUUUGUUUUGAGCGUUUCUUUGACACUUUGUGGCGAACUCUGUCCAAAUUGAUUAUUUUAAAGGAUUUAGUUCGCUAAGCUUAUGAUUAUAUCUUAACUAUCACGACCAUUCAAACAGCAUCUCACAUUACCCUAGACAUCCUUUGCGGCUCUCUUUUCGCUGCAGCUAUUGUUUUCUGUCGCUGAAAUUUCCCUCAUUAUGGUUGCACCUUCUCCAAAUAAAUUCACCCCUGCUGUUAUAUGAA
This is a long non-coding RNA of Notolabrus celidotus (New Zealand spotty), 1006 nucleotides long. RefSeq lists it as uncharacterized. The record is from RefSeq and is a predicted model, not a curated record. Lineage: Eukaryota; Metazoa; Chordata; Actinopteri; Labriformes; Labridae. The transcript is spliced from 2 exons.